Molecule: non-coding RNA, 955 nt
Filed under: Sphyraena borealis (northern sennet)
Lineage: Eukaryota; Metazoa; Chordata; Actinopteri; Sphyraenidae
Description: partial small subunit ribosomal RNA
Rfam family: Bacterial small subunit ribosomal RNA
Source: RNAcentral
CAAAGGCUUGGUCCUGACUUUACUAUCAGCUCUGGCUAUACUUACACAUGCAAGUCUCCGCGCCCCUGUGAGGAUGCCCAUAGUUCCCUUCUAGGGAACAAGGAGCCGGUAUCAGGCACAGCCCUAGCUAGCCCAUGACACCUUGCUUAGCCACACCCCUACGGGAAUCCAGCAGUGAUAAAUAUUAAGCCAUAAGUGAAAACUUGACUUAGUUAAAGCCAUGAAGGACCGGUAAAACUCGUGCCAGCCACCGCGGUUAUACGAGAGGUCCAAGUUGAUAGUUCGCGGCGUAAAGCGUGGUUAGAGGUGUACACUACACUAAAGCCGAAGGCUCUCAAGGCUGUUUAACGCAUACCGAGAGUAUGAAGUCCAGUUACGAAAGUAGCUUUAAAUUACCUGAACCCACGAAAGCUGAGAAACAAACUGGGAUUAGAUACCCCACUAUGCUCAGCCCUAAACAUUGAUUGGACUCUACAACCCCAAUCCGCCUGGGAAUUACGAACAUAAGUUUAAAACCCAAAGGACUUGGCGGUGCUUUAUAUCCCCCUAGAGGAGCCUGUCCUAGAACCGAUAAUCCCCGUUCAACCUCACCCUCUCUGGCCCCUUCCCGCCUAUAUACCGCCGUCGCCAGCUCACCCUGUGAAGGUCCAAAAGUGAGCACAAUUGGUACAGCCCAGCACGUCAGGUCGAGGUGUAGCGAAUGAGAGGGGAAGAGAUGGGCUACAUUCGCUGACCACAGCGAAUUACGAAUGGAGCAUUGAAACAUGUAACUGAAGGUGGAUUUAGUAGUAAGUUAGGAAUAGAGUGCCCUACUGAAGCCGGCCCUAAAGCGCGUACAUACCGCCCGUCACCCUCCCCUAGUCUACCAACUUCCCCCUUAAAUAAAGUGUCAAUCUUGCGAAGGGGAGGAAAGUCGUAACAUGGUAAGCGUACCGGAAGGUGUGCUUGGAAAAAC